This 1910-nucleotide long non-coding RNA is filed under the name Papio anubis (olive baboon). Its description in RNAcentral is "lncRNA (ENSPANG00000039064.1)". Lineage: Eukaryota; Metazoa; Chordata; Mammalia; Primates; Cercopithecidae. The record is from RNAcentral.
CAUGAUAGGCAUAACGACAUGUAUUUAUUUUAAAAUGUAUACCAAAGUAGUGAUGUAUACUAUAUGUAUACUAAAGUAGUUAUUGAGGGUACAGCAUUAGAUGAUGAGUACAGUAUUAUCUAGCAUUUGUUAGGCACCUACUCUAUGCUAAAGCUACAUUAAAAUAUUCAAAUACAUUAUUUCAUUCAGGAAGGUCCUCGCCUUCAUGAAGCUAACAGUUUAGAUUUUUUUUUUUUAAGGAUGGGGUCUCACUCUGUUGCCCAGGCUGGAGUACAGUGGUAUGAUCAGAGCUCACUACAGCCUCAAACUCCUGGGCUCAAGCAAUCCUCCCACCUCAGCUUCAGCCUACCAAGUAUCUUUGACUACAGGUGUGCACUAUCUCACCUGGCUAAUUUAUUUCAAUUUUAGUUUUUAGAGAUGGGGUCUCGAACUCCUGGGUUCAAGCAAUCCUCCUGCCUCAACCUCCCAAGUAGCUGGGAUUAUAAGAAUGAGCCACUGUGGCCAGCCAUAAAUUUAACAGUUUAAAAGGAGCUUUCUGGCUGGGUGCAGUGGCUCACGCUUGUAAUCCCAGCACUUUGGGAGGCCAAGGUGGGCGGAGCACCUGAAGUCAGGAGUUUGAGACAAGCCUGGUCAACAUGGUGAAACCCCACCUCUACCGAAAAUUUAAAAAAAAAAAAAAAUUAGCUAGGUGUGGUGGUAAGUGCCUGUAAUCCCAAUUACUCAGGAGGCUGAGGCAGGAGGAUCACCUGAACCCUGGAGGUGGAGGUUGCAGUGAGCCGAGAUUGUGCCACUGCACUCCAGCCUGGGUGACAGAGCAAGACUCUGUCUCAAAAUACACACACACACACACACACACACACACACACACACACACAUAUAAAACAAACAAACAAAAAACUUCCGUAGACUUAUUAUCACCUAGCUUCAACAAUUAUCAACACAUAGCUGAUCUUAAUUUAUCUAUAUCCCCCCACACUCUCCCCCAAGAUUAUUUGGAAGCAAAUUGCAGAUUUCAAAUCAGUUCAUCCACAAAUAUUUCAAUAUAUAUUUCCAAAAGUUAAGGACUCUUAACAUAACCACAAUACUAUCAUCUCACCUAAUAAAAAUUAACUAUAAUUUCUUACUCUCAUCAAAUAUCCAUUUGGUGUUCUAAUUUCCCUGAAUCAGGUUCUGAUCAAGAUCCAUAAAUUGUAUAUGGUAGAUAUGGCUCUUAGGUUUCUUUUAUUCCAUAGUUUACACUUUCUUUUUUUUUCUUCUUGCAAUUUACUAAAGAAACUCUAGGCCAUUUGUCCUAUGGAAUUUUGUUCAUUUUGGGUUUUGCCAGUUGCACCCCUGUGGUAUCUUUUAACAUGUUUCUCUCUCCCUUUGAAUUGGUAGCUUCUAGAGUUAUUUGGCUUCAGGUUUGAUUUUUUUUUUUUUUUUUUUUUUGGCAAGAAUAUUUUACAGGUGGUGUGACCUUCCUAUUGCAUCAUGUCAGGACCACAUAAUUUCUUGUUGUCUUUCUUUUCAUAAUAUUAAGACUAAUCAGUGGGUUCAGUUGCUGUCAACCUGAUCUAUCCAUUAUAAAAUUCCCUUCAGCUUUUUUUUCCCUCCACUAGCUUUCUAUUUCAUGGUUUUGCAGCCAUUUACUAUCAUUGACUAAAUCUAUUAUUUCAUUAGAGGUUGUUGGAUUCAUUUUUGAAUUGUUUAUGUUCCCCAAAUUUUUAUUUAGGAAAAUUUUAAACCUACAGAACUAUUCAUUGUUUCAGUGAACACCCAUAUACUCUGCCACAGAUUUGCUGCUUUGUAACUCUUUCCCACAUUUUCUCUAUCUCUUCCUUUCUCUUUCUGAAACAUUUGUGUUAGUUGCUGACAUAAGGAGGUUUCACCCCUAAAUUCUUCAGCAUUUGUCUUUUAAGAACAAAGACAUU